UUUUUUCAAAAAAAGGCAGUUGAAAGUACUAAACGUUUCACAAGACUUGAUGAAUGGAUUAAGCUAGAUCAACUUGACCUUGAUUCCGUAGAAUGCGCCUCAGAUGAAAAAAGUUGAAGACAAAGGUAGCCAUUCUUCAAAGUCUUGACCUUUGUUUACUGUAUUUAGUAGAACUGUGUAUUGGUUAUAGGUGAGACUAGCUGGAAGAUGACACCAAACGAGAGACGGAAUAUUGAUGAGUCACAUGUAGAGGUAAGGGGUUAGCUUUAGUGAGCUGUGUGACACGCUAUGCAUGUUCUGAUAUGUGCUUUUACAGGGUCAUCAGUCACGAAGAGCUGGAUGCUGCGAGUUUGCGUGAACAUGAGGAGUUCACAAAAGCGAAGAAUAUAACAACGGAGAUAUGGGUAUUCCGUUUCCACCAGAAUACAAAGACUGUGUGAAACUCUUUUUCUGUUAGUUUUGCCUGUCCUUUUUUCUAAUUAAAAAAAACUGACACCUUUAUUUAAAAAAAAAUGAGUUGUAUCAGCUGUUUGUUCGGGUUGUAUUUCUGAAUUCUGAUAUUGUAUCUUUCUGUUAAAUUUGUAUCCUUUGAGCUUUCACACGUAUAUUUCUGUUUCUUACCCAAAUUUUUUUUUUUGCGGCGGCAUGCAGAGGAAAUGUGAUCUGAAGCAUCCCCUGGGGAUGAAAUCUUUCAAAGCUCGAUCUUGUCAGUGUUUGAGUGAAUGUGAUGAUCGGGGGACGCCACAUGGCUGGAUACUUUUCAAAGGAAAAGCAUUCAGAAGAAGCGUACAACUUGGCUUGUAUCCAUCCGUACCCUUCCUCCAUAUCAAAGGAAAGGCUAUGGGAAAUUCUUAAUAGCUUUAUAUGAGUAUUCUUUCCAUCUAACUCUUGUUCUGCUCUCUCACAUCUCUCCACAAGCUCACUCUUUCUCUUUUUUUUUCCUAAGUUGAUAACAACUUACCCAUUUUGUUGUGUUACAGAGGUUACAGGACUCGGAUUUUCUUAGACAUCCUCAUGAAAAAGCACAAGGGAAACAUAAUCAAAAUGCAGGAGAUGAGUGAUAUGGCAGCGGGGUUAAUUACUCACUGAAAAAAUUUGGGUUUCUCUAGAAUCUCUUGUAGUAGGUAACCUUUGGUUCAAGAAUUUAGAGGUUUUCCUCUAAUGCUAAUAUAGGCUCAAAGUUUCGUGUAUGGUUUGAUCCUUUGCAUUGUAAGUAAUACAUUUUGGUAAAGAUUCUACCUUUUUUGGGAACGAAUAUUAUCUUAAAUUUUAAAACUGAAGCAUAGCAAUAGAACAAACCUCUUUAACUA
Brassica napus (rape) is the source of this 1310-nucleotide long non-coding RNA. RefSeq lists it as uncharacterized. The record is from RefSeq and is a predicted model, not a curated record. Lineage: Eukaryota; Viridiplantae; Streptophyta; Magnoliopsida; Brassicales; Brassicaceae. The transcript is spliced from 3 exons.